This 296-nucleotide ribosomal RNA is filed under the name uncultured bacterium. RNAcentral's name for it is "partial 16S ribosomal RNA". It matches the Rfam family "Bacterial small subunit ribosomal RNA", at positions 475 to 776 of the family's 1533-position model. The record is from RNAcentral.
CUAUGCGCCUUGCCAGCCCGCUCAGGUGUGCCAGAGCCGCGGUAAUACGGAGGAUGCGAGCGUUAUCCGGAUUUAUUGGUUUAAAGGGUGCGUAGGCGGUCCGUUAAGUCAGCGGUAAAAUUGCGGGGCUCAACCCCGUCGAGCCGUUGAAACUGUCAGACUUGAGUUGGCGAGAAGUACGCGGAAUGCGCGGUGUAGCGGUGAAAUGCAUAGAUAUCACGCAGAACUCCGAUUGCGAAGGCAGCAUACCGGCGCCCGACUGACGCUGAGGCACGAAAGCGUGGGGAUCGAACAGG